This 253-nucleotide ribosomal RNA is filed under the name uncultured bacterium. RNAcentral's name for it is "partial 16S ribosomal RNA". It matches the Rfam family "Bacterial small subunit ribosomal RNA", at positions 524 to 776 of the family's 1533-position model. The record is from RNAcentral.
GACAGAGGGUGCAACCGUUGUUCGGAAUUACUGGGCGUAAAGCGCGUGUAGGCUGCUCUGCAAGUCGGAUGUGAAAGCCCUGGGCUCAACCUAGGAAGUGCACUCGAAACUGCAGAGCUUGAGUCUCGGAGAGGAUCGCGGAAUUCUCGGUGUAGAGGUGAAAUUCGUAGAUAUCUGGAGGAACACCGGUGGCGAAGGCGGCAUCCUGGACCGAGAUUGACGCUGAGGCGCGAAAGCUAGGGGAGCAAACGGG